Non-coding RNA from Pangasius djambal, 76 nucleotides. The record is from the annotation of a GenBank genome assembly. NCBI's taxonomy places the organism in Eukaryota, Metazoa, Chordata, Actinopteri, Siluriformes, Pangasiidae.
GAUUAUGUAUACGCUCAGUGGUUAAGACGUUGGACUACUGAUCGGAAGGUCAUGAGUUCAAUCCCCAGCACCGCCA